CUUUAUACAAAGACAUGGUAAGUAAAAAAGCAGAUACUUUAUCAGAGAGCUUCGGUAGCUGAGAAGAAGCAAGUAAACACUUUUUGAAAAUGGCCAUCGAGUAUUCAAUGUCGAGCAAAUAAAACGUUGUAAGGAAUUGACGGGAGCAACCGUUAUAUUGCGCAAGUAUAGUAUAUGCUAUACUGACAGAGGAGCUGAUUUUUCAGCUUAAACUGAGGUGGUACCACGCAAAAAAGCGUCCUCAAG
Molecule: non-coding RNA, 246 nt
Filed under: Enterococcus saccharolyticus
Lineage: Bacteria; Bacillati; Bacillota; Bacilli; Lactobacillales; Enterococcaceae
Description: T-box sequence
Rfam family: T-box leader
About the family: Uncharged tRNA acts as the effector for transcription antitermination of genes in the T-box leader family.
Source: RNAcentral